Molecule: ribosomal RNA, 440 nt
Filed under: uncultured Psychrobacter sp.
Lineage: Bacteria; Pseudomonadati; Pseudomonadota; Gammaproteobacteria; Moraxellales; Moraxellaceae
Description: bacterial SSU rRNA
Rfam family: Bacterial small subunit ribosomal RNA
Source: RNAcentral
GGAAUAUUGGACAAUGGGGGAAACCCUGAUCCAGCCAUGCCGCGUGUGUGAAGAAGGCCUUUUGGUUGUAAAGCACUUUAAGCAGUGAAGAAGACUCUUCGGUUAAUACCCGGAGACGAUGACAUUAGCUGCAGAAUAAGCACCGGCUAACUCUGUGCCAGCAGCCGCGGUAAUACAGAGGGUGCAAGCGUUAAUCGGAAUUACUGGGCGUAAAGCGAGCGUAGGUGGCUUGAUAAGUCAGAUGUGAAAUCCCCGGGCUUAACCUGGGAACUGCAUCUGAUACUGUCAGGCUAGAGUAGGUGAGAGGAAGGUAGAAUUCCAGGUGUAGCGGUGAAAUGCGUAGAGAUCUGGAGGAAUACCGAUGGCGAAGGCAGCCUUCUGGCAUCAUACUGACACUGAGGCUCGAAAGCGUGGGUAGCAAACAGGAUUAGAUACCCGGG